RNAcentral lists this ribosomal RNA (411 nucleotides) under uncultured bacterium. RNAcentral's name for it is "bacterial SSU rRNA". It matches the Rfam family "Bacterial small subunit ribosomal RNA", at positions 64 to 507 of the family's 1533-position model. The record is from RNAcentral.
GAACGAGAAAGUGGAGCAAUCCAUGAGUAAAGUGGCGACCGGGUGAGUAACACGUGACUAACCUACCUCCGAGUGGGGAAUAACUCCGGGAAACCGGGGCUAAUACCGCAUAACAUCGCAAGAUCAAAGCAGCAAUGCGCUUGGAGAGGGGGUCGCGGCUGAUUAGCUCGUUGGCGGGGUAACGGCCCACCAAGGCGAAGAUCGGUAUCCGGCCUGAGAGGGCGCACGGACACACUGGAACUGAAACACGGUCCAGACUCCUACGGGAGGCAGCAGUGGGGAAUUUUGCGCAAUGGGGGAAACCCUGACGCAGCAACGCCGCGUGGAGGAUGAAGCCCUUUGGGGCGUAAACUCCUUUCGACUCGGACGAUAAUGACGGUACGAGUGGAAGAAGCACCGGCUAACUCUGUG